Molecule: small RNA, 78 nt
Filed under: Flavobacterium xueshanense
Lineage: Bacteria; Pseudomonadati; Bacteroidota; Flavobacteriia; Flavobacteriales; Flavobacteriaceae
Description: Flavo-1 RNA
Rfam family: Flavo-1 RNA
Source: RNAcentral
AGACAGCCCUGAUGGUAGUGGUAUCCUUUCUUUGCCUUCUUUAGGCAAAGAAAGAUAUAACGGACAGCAGGAAUAGCU